UACAUUUCCAUGUCCCAAUUUCUAUGGUAAUUAAAAAUGAGUAAUGCUAUUUAAUCCAUCAAAACUAACUCACCUUAUUAUCAGCUAACGUGUCAAUAAACGAGUUGCUAUAUUUAAAGAGGAAACUUAAAACAUACACUUUUGAAAAGAAAUUGAGCAAAUAAAAAACUGUUAUAUCAGACGGUAUAUUAAGGUGGAUUAAAUAGCAUUUUUUAUUAAAAACAUUGUCUAACCAUUUUUUUCCUAUUUAUAUAGCCGCCAUCAUUAUUUUUUGAGAAAACAACAAAAUUUUGAAAAAAAUGGUUUUUAUUUUCACACAUUAUAUGCUACAUUGAAAAAUUUUCAUCUACACCCACUUUUUGAAAUAUAUUUAGUUAAUACCACCUUUUCUAAUAUCAGUGUGCGUCACCGGAGGCGUUAUCUUGUGCACCAACAGAGCUGGUGUACCAUACCACAUAACACUGACCCGCGCGUCAUGAAUUGAACCCAAUUCAGUACAAACUAAAUGAGAAAUUUACAAAAAUAUCUAAAAAAACUAAAAAUAUUUUUUAGAAUUACCUCAAAAACUGAAAGUUUACAAAUAUAUAUAAAAAUUUAAAUAUUUAUUUUUUUACUUUACAAUUUAUUUUUUUACUCUGCAGUUUCAAGCAGUUUCAAAAAACACAAUUUGAAAAUGUUUUACAAAACAUUUCAAAUACAGUUUUUAAUAGAGUUUCAAACGGUUUCAAAAAAACAAUUUGAAACUGUUUUAUAAACCGUUUCGAAGACGGUUUUUAAUUGGGUUGAAAACGGUUUAUAACAGUUUCUAAAAAUAAUUUGAAACCGUUUUAAAAAACUAUUUCUAUUACAGUUUCAAAAGGUUUCAAAAAAAAUUUAAAUUGACAUUUUUAAAAUUAUUUAUAAUGCAGUUUCAAACAGUUUAAAAAAACGGAGUAUUAUUACAAAUUUUCAGAGUAAGAAUAAAUAAAUUUUCGGAGUAAAAGAAUAAAGUUUUAGAAAAAAAGGUAGAAGAAAUUUUUUCAAAAAACCAGCUAGGAGCUUUUGUUUUGAAUACUAGAUAAGUAUUAUGUAAGUGAGCCCCCAUACAAUUUUAAUAAUCUACGAGAUAAAACUGUACAUACAUACAGUAGACUCUCUAAUAAUUAAUAUUUAAUAAAUUAAUAAUUUUAAUAAUUAAUGAAAUUUUAGAGAACCAAUUUUAAUAUUACGUCUUAUAUUAUAUUUAAUAAAUUAAUAGUUCUAAUAAUUAAUAAUUUUUUAAUUCAACAUGUGUAUUAAUUAUUAGAGGGUCGACUGUAUAUUUGUUUAUAUGACAUAACAUCUACCUUCAAGGCCUGCUUGUAAACAGAGCAAAGUCUGUAAAUUCACUAAUAUGUUUUAAGAAUUCUUGCAAAAUAUAUACAAACCAGGCAGUGACGAAGUCAGACCACAAAUUCAGGUAGGGCACAAUUUAAUUGAAAAAAUUUAAAAUAUCAGACCAUAAAAAAUUUACACUUAAAAAUAAAAGUUAUAAAAUUGUUAAAUAUUAAAUAUAAUAAAAAAUAAAAAAAAAUAAACAGUACAAAAUUGACAAAUCAGCGCUUUUCAUCAAAAAAACAAAAACAAAACCAGUUAACGCUUUCUAAUUGGAGGAAAUUGUGUCUUGCGAGUCUUCAUCUUUUGAAACCGUUGUAAGAUAUCUUCAUCAUCAAUAUUUUUUUUUAAUUUUUUUUUGUAAAACAUACGAGACAAUCAUUUAAGAACUGAUUUUCCAUCUUAUUUCGCAUUGAUGAUAUUCAUACAUGAGAACAAUCUUUCAAUUGUCGUAGUUGCAACCGUAAUACCAACCAAAUAAGUAAAUAAACUAAAGAAAAUUAACGAUCGUAUCCCGUCUUAACCAUCAUUUUAACAAGGCCACUAAUAUCAUGAAGAUCACUAAAAUUAUUUGUAUUUCUAACAUUAAAGAUCUAAGUUUGAAUUUUAUUAAAAUUUAUCCAUGACUUACAUCAAAAAUAUUAUCAAAAAAAUAAACUCAACAUUCAAACCCGUAAAAAAUUGAAAUUAUUUAUUAUUAUAAGUAAAUAGAAAUUAUAAAAAAAUUGUACUAUAAAGUACAACUAAAAUAAUCAAAUUUAAUUACAUAAAUUACUAAAAGAAAAAUAAAAAGUUUUCACGAAAUACAAAAAUAUAACCGAAUAAAGGAAUUGAAAUAUAUAAACAAAAUUAAAGUAUACCUGACAAUGGCACAAUGGCAUUUUUUAAAUCUUAAUCGGUAUGUCAAAUUUUUUUUUACUAAUUUCUCUCUAAAAGAUAACUCUUAUUUUGUUUUAAUUGAUGAAAGUGCCACUGUGUUAAUGACCUAAAACAAUAAAACUAAGUAUGGGUUAAUGAAUAGCCAAAAUACACAAGACUCACUCUUUAAAAAGAAUUAAGGAUUUUUUACACAAAUCCCCUAAAACAAUUCUUAUCCAUUAUUUAUACCUCAGCAUUUUAUUUUAGGCAGUAAUCACUCAAAAGAAUAAAAUAGUUUCUACAAAUCCCUCAUAAUCCAAAUAAGCUAAUUUUAUAUUAAAAUAUGACAGUUUUAACCUUUGAUUAGAUCUGUUAAUAUCUCUUGCAAAAUUGUCUUGGGUCUCCAUCAACAGUACCGUUGAAGCCCAACGACGUUCGGCGAGAUCGGGCGACGGUCCAAUGCUAAAAAAUGGACUAUACGACCAAACCACCAUUUUCUUCAUCUUCUUCCCUCCAAAGCUAAAAAAUGGAGGAAAACACAAUCUGGCCAUUAAUUGCAGUAAUCACAUGCUCAUUCACUACAAUUCGCGCAUAUAAGAGAAAAUCACUUAAUUAACUGGCGUCGUUGCCGGCUUUCUUGUCAUGUCCAUUCAUUUCGGUGUUAGUUACAGGUCUUUACUCUAUUUUUAUUUCAUUUUUUCCUCUUCUUGUAUAGAUUAAUAAGCAUUAUCCUUAUAAUUAAUUUAAUUACAGGUUUGAAGGUAUGAUCCUUGCAGUUUUUUCUCACAUCAUCCAAACUUACGAAGGUCGGAGAAGAAAGGAAGAGAUGAAUUGAUGCUGAUUUCAAAAGAAGGCUGCCAGAGAAAUUAGAUACAAGUGUUGUCCAACGGUGGAAUGGUGGGGACGAGUAUUGUUUGGAUUCGAAAGAAUCAAGAGUGCAUGGUUACAGCUCUAACGGGUGCUAUUAUUGGUCAUUAUUCUUGCGCUAAUGGAGAUACUUGGUCUUCAGACUUGGGUGCUUAGUGAUGCUAUUCCCACACAUUACAAACUAUUGGUUAUUGAAAGACUCAUAAUAUUUUAAUUCAUUAAAGAAUGGUAGUGAGAAUCAUAUUUGUUAAGCCAAUUAUUUAUUGAUUUGAAUGUUUGCAAGAA
Mercurialis annua (annual mercury) is the source of this 3363-nucleotide long non-coding RNA. RefSeq lists it as uncharacterized. Lineage: Eukaryota; Viridiplantae; Streptophyta; Magnoliopsida; Malpighiales; Euphorbiaceae. The transcript has 2 exons. The record is from RefSeq and is a predicted model, not a curated record.